This 1434-nucleotide ribosomal RNA is filed under the name uncultured bacterium. RNAcentral describes it as "bacterial SSU rRNA". It matches the Rfam family "Bacterial small subunit ribosomal RNA". The record is from RNAcentral.
UGAUGAACGCUAGCUACAGGCUUAACACAUGCAAGUCGAGGGGCAGCAUGGUCUUAGCUUGCUAAGGCCGAUGGCGACCGGCGCACGGGUGAGUAACACGUAUCCAACCUGCCGUCUACUCUUGGACAGCCUUCUGAAAGGAAGAUUAAUGCAAGAUGGCAUCAUGAGUCCGCAUGUUCACAUGAUUAAAGGUAUUCCGGUAGACGAUGGGGAUGCGUUCCAUUAGAUAGUAGGCGGGGUAACGGCCCACCUAGUCUUCGAUGGAUAGGGGUUCUGAGAGGAAGGUCCCCCACAUUGGAACUGAGACACGGUCCAAACUCCUACGGGAGGCAGCAGUGAGGAAUAUUGGUCAAUGGGCGAGAGCCUGAACCAGCCAAGUAGCGUGAAGGAUGACUGCCCUAUGGGUUGUAAACUUCUUUUAUAAAGGAAUAAAGUCGGGUAUGGAUACCCGUUUGCAUGUACUUUAUGAAUAAGGAUCGGCUAACUCCGUGCCAGCAGCCGCGGUAAUACGGAGGAUCCGAGCGUUAUCCGGAUUUAUUGGGUUUAAAGGGAGCGUAGAUGGAUGUUUAAGUCAGUUGUGAAAGUUUGCGGCUCAACCGUAAAAUUGCAGUUGAUACUGGAUAUCUUGAGUGCAGUUGAGGCAGGCGGAAUUCGUGGUGUAGCGGUGAAAUGCUUAGAUAUCACGAAGAACUCCGAUUGCGAAGGCAGCCUGCUAAGCUGCAACUGACAUUGAGGCUCGAAAGUGUGGGUAUCAAACAGGAUUAGAUACCCUGGUAGUCCACACGGUAAACGAUGAAUACUCGCUGUUUGCGAUAUACUGCAAGCGGCCAAGCGAAAGCGUUAAGUAUUCCACCUGGGGAGUACGCCGGCAACGGUGAAACUCAAAGGAAUUGACGGGGGCCCGCACAAGCGGAGGAACAUGUGGUUUAAUUCGAUGAUACGCGAGGAACCUUACCCGGGCUUAAAUUGCAGAUGAAUUACGGUGAAAGCCGUAAGCCGCAAGGCAUCUGUGAAGGUGCUGCAUGGUUGUCGUCAGCUCGUGCCGUGAGGUGUCGGCUUAAGUGCCAUAACGAGCGCAACCCUUGUUGUCAGUUACUAACAGGUUCCGCUGAGGACUCUGACAAGACUGCCAUCGUAAGAUGUGAGGAAGGUGGGGAUGACGUCAAAUCAGCACGGCCCUUACGUCCGGGGCUACACACGUGUUACAAUGGGGGGUACAGAGGGCCGCUACCACGCGAGUGGAUGCCAAUCCCCAAAACCUCUCUCAGUUCGGACUGGAGUCUGCAACCCGACUCCACGAAGCUGGAUUCGCUAGUAAUCGCGCAUCAGCCACGGCGCGGUGAAUACGUUCCCGGGCCUUGUACACACCGCCCGUCAAGCCAUGGGAGCCGGGGGUACCUGAAGUGCGUAACCGCGAGGAGCGCCCUAGGGUAA